RNAcentral lists this long non-coding RNA (3251 nucleotides) under Capsicum annuum. RNAcentral describes it as "long non-coding RNA (CANN_LNC014491)". The record is from RNAcentral. Lineage: Eukaryota; Viridiplantae; Streptophyta; Magnoliopsida; Solanales; Solanaceae.
UUAACUCCUAUUCUUUGUGUGUAAGUUUUUCAAAUAAUGACAGUAACUUAGUUCAUCGGAUUUUUUCUUUUGAGCUCUGGAUCACUUUCGUUUAAUAGAGUUUUGUUUUCCAAAAUCCUAACCCAUAUUCAAGUUUUCUUCACUGUGCUUCUAAAUCAGUUUGUGUCAUGGAUUAAGCCAUAAUCGUAAACAUUCAAUCGAUUAAUUCUGAAUAAAUUUUCUGCAUCUGAAACAAAAUAAUGGGUAAGAAAAUCUCAACAAUGGAGAUUUUUGCUCCGUUGAAGCUUUGCAUGUAUAAAAUUUUAUUUAUUUUAUAUUUUCAUUUAGGAAUUUGAGAUUUUUACCUAAGACUUACGCUUUACGUUUGGAUUCUAUAAGCUCUGUUGUGAAACUUAAAUAUUAUGCUUCAUCAUCUGCAGUAGUUAUCGAUUGAUUGGUGACCCUUGCAUCUAACAUAUUAGUUUUGUCACCUUCGCAUUAUUCCGUUAUGCAUAACUAAUUUUUGUCAAUACUUUUGUAUUGUCAAUGGGAAUAUCUAUCAGCCUCGAGAGAAAGAAGUGAGAGGUGGAGGGUGCUUUUCGACUAUAAAUUGAGUCAUGAAAUGAUGAAUUGUACUCUAUUAAUGGCAUAGAAUAUCAAUAAUUAAGUCGCACGUUUAAUUUAGUGUUCUACAAUUGUCUUGCAAGUAUAUCUGAGCAGUCUCUACGAGUUUUUCUCUAUUUACUUCUAAAGCUUCUAUUCUUCUCAGGUAAUUACUUGAAUUGUUAUCAUUUGCUCUUUGUUCAAUUUCGUCGAUUCAUUUCAUGUAGUUGCUUAGAUUGUUAUCAUUUGUUCUUUGUAUGCUUAUUUUUGCAUGGUACUUUCUGGUGUAAACUUGAAUUAGUCGGGCCUAAAGUGAAUACCAGACACUGAAUAGAAAGUAUAAUUUUCCCACAAUAAAUAGUUCUCCAUUUUCAGUUCACUGGUGUAACGGGCUACCUAGCAAAGAGUACUUUCUCUCUCCCCUUUAGGUUGCAUAAUACUACUUUGUGAAUAAUGUUAGUGUUGCUACUGCUUCUAUUAUAAAUUCUUGUAGUUCUCUCCAGACAAAUGUGAAGAAGCCCUACUUGCUAAUUAGAGCUCCAGAUGCAAAUUCUAUUAAACACCACUUUAACAACGAGGUACUGGCAUACUUCUACAACAACAACAACAAACCCAGUGUAUUCCCACAAAGUGGAGUCUGAGGAGGGUAAAGUGUACGUAGUACAUACCGCUACCUCCAAAGAAGUAGAGAGGCUGUUUUUGAUAGACCUCCGGCUCAAGAUAAGGAAUAAUAAACAAAAGCGUAAUGAAACAUGAAGUAAGAUGGAUGACAUCACAUAAAAAGUACUAAGACAUAAAUAUAAAUCAAAGCAGUAUGAGAUGAGGUAACCAAGUGCAAUGUGCAAUAAGAGAUAAGAAAUAGGGCAUCCGAAAAACGACACCCACCUAAUAGUAACAGACACUCACAGGCCAGAGACACCCUCCACCCCCAAACCCUCCUGACUAGGAGCUCUUACCUAAGGACACAGUCCUAGGAUUAGUAACCUGGCUAUACCAGGGCUCUUCUAACUACUAGCUAUAGCCCACGUGCACAACCUAGCCUUCUACCCUUAUCCGCGACCUCCAUACCUUCCUAUCUAGGGUCAUGUCCUCAGUAAGCUGAAGUUGCUCCAUAUCAUGUCUAAUCACUUUCCUCCAGUACUUCUUCGACCUACCUAUCCUCCUCCUGAAUCCAUCCAACGCUAGCCUCUUACACCUCCGAACUGGGGCAUCCGUGCCCCUCCUCAUCACAUGUCCAAACCAUCUCAGCCUUCCUUCCCGCAUCUUGUCCUCCACCGAAGCCACUCCCACCUUCUCCCAAACUGUCUCAUUCCUAACUCUAUCCCCUCUAGUAAGUCCACACAUCUAACGCAAAAUUCUUAUUUCUGCCACCUUCAUUCUUUGAGUGUGGGAGUUCUUGACUGGCCAACACUCUGCUCCAUAGAGCAUAGCUGGCCGGACUGCCACUCUGUAGAAUUUGCCUUUAAGCUUAACUAGGACCUUCUUAUCACACAACACUCCCGAGGCGAGCCUCCACUUCAUCCAACCCGCUUCCAUACAGUUAGAGACAUCCUCAUCUAUCUCGCCAUUCCCCUGAAUCAAAAACCCAAGAUACUUAAAACUAUCCCUUUUACAAACAUCCUUGGAAUCCAACCUCACCACCACAUCUUCCUCCUGCCUCAAGUCACUAAACUUGUAUUCCAUAUAUUCCAUCUUGGACCUUCUCAACCUGAACCCUUUAGAUUCAAGGGUUUGCCUCCAAACGUCCAAUUUUUCAUUCACCCCCCCUCGCGUCUCAUCAAUCAACACUACAUCGUCCGCAAACAACAUACACCAAGGUACCUCCCCUUGAAUACUUCGCGUCAACACGUCUAACACCAACACAAACAGAAAAGGACUAAGAGUCGAACCCUGAUGCAACCUUGUCUCGACUAAAAAAUGCUCUACAAGUCUUCUAUUAUUUUACCAUUUCAUUUUAGUCUUAUAAAAUGAUAUGAGGGUCAGAUUUAUCUUCGUCUUUAAUGAUGAGCAAUAUUUAAAUAUUCGAGUUAUAUGUUUGAAAAUAGAACCGGCAGUAAUAUCCCUGUGGGCGUAUCACCUUGACAAAAACAAAGAGAAUACCCAUCUCAAAUAUGCGUCGAAAAACAACUUAGACUGUAUGAAUUGUAUGAUCUAGAGUGAAGUCACACAUUUGUUAAAUUUGAUCAACAACAUAAAUGGGGGGAUUGAAAUACAUAAUUUAUUGGCGGAAUGUAUGAAUUAGAGUUUGGUACAAAGGUUAUAGUGUGUGAAUUUAACUACAGUUUGUUUGGUUUAUGUCUGGGUCAUAAUUUGGAUUUGACAGCUAGACGUAUGAGUAGGCGACUCACAGAAGUUGAAGACAGAUCAGACGAAAUUCAACAAAGGCAGUACUGGACUCAACGCGUGAGCUCCUCUAGUAAAGUUGUUCCCAUCAAUUGUGGACACAAGAAAUUGAUCAAAAAGGUAUGUUUUAAUUACCGAUUAAAUUUGUAAUAAUGUAUUACAUGCACAGAAGAGCAGACCUUUAGAUUAGCUUCACUUGAUACAAAAAUGUCCAAGUUUUUUGAUGAAAAAUCUAUUACGAAGAGAAUUUAUGUCCAAGAAGAAAUCUCUGAACAUCGUCAUAGAUAUGCAGAAAACGGCCAAGGUGGUUCGACAAUAGUUUGUAG